Molecule: non-coding RNA, 284 nt
Organism: Pelobates cultripes (western spadefoot toad)
Lineage: Eukaryota; Metazoa; Chordata; Amphibia; Anura; Pelobatidae
Source: the annotation of a GenBank genome assembly
UAGCAUUUCAGUUUGGAUGCAUUUGGUCCACACAAUAGUUUUAGGAAAAAUAUUCCAAGCAAUGGAAAAGAGUGCAAAAAUGUGCUUAUUGGUGAACUGCAAAAUCUAUACAUAAUAUAAAUAUUUGACAUAUGAUUACCUCUUCUCACUGAAUCUGUGAUUUAAAUGAUGCAGAAAUGAAGCACCCGUCACUUUAUGCAAUAUAUAUUUGUGCAAUUUGCAACCCAAUGCACAAGUCUACUACCAAUAGCAACGUGUGCACCUCUCCAAAGCUUUUUUCACAU